CGCGGGACUUGGCUGCUCGGCAGCUCGUGUUCCUACUUCCAGAAUAUUUAAAAGAUGCCUCAAAGAAGAUGAAGACUGGCCUCCUGUUUGUAAAACUGGUCAACCCGCGCUCAGGGGAAGGAAGCUUUUACUUAUUCGAUAUGUGUCUGCAGCAGCUAUUUGAAGUCAAAGUAUUCAAGGAAAAGCACCGUUCUUGGUUUAUAAAUCAAUCAGUUCAAUCAGGUAAGUGAUGUGUGUGUG
This is a long non-coding RNA of Peromyscus leucopus (white-footed mouse), 240 nucleotides long. RefSeq lists it as uncharacterized. The record is from RefSeq and is a predicted model, not a curated record. NCBI's taxonomy places the organism in Eukaryota, Metazoa, Chordata, Mammalia, Rodentia, Cricetidae. The transcript has 3 exons.